CCUACGGGGGGCAGCAGUGAGGAAUAUUGGUCAAUGGCCGAGAGGCUGAACCAGCCAAGUCGCGUGAGGGAAGACGGCCCUACGGGUUGUAAACCUCUUUUGUCGGGGAGCAAAGCGAGUCACGUGUGACUCAUUGAGAGUACCCGAAGAAAAAGCAUCGGCUAACUCCGUGCCAGCAGCCGCGGUAAUACGGAGGAUGCGAGCGUUAUCCGGAUUUAUUGGGUUUAAAGGGUGCGCAGGCGGAGGUGCAAGUCAGCGGUCAAAUUGCGGGGCUCAACCCCGUCCUGCCGUUGAAACUGCAGCCCUUGAGUGCGCGAGAGGUAUGCGGAAUGCGUGGUGUAGCGGUGAAAUGCAUAGAUAUCACGCAGAACUCCGAUUGCGAAGGCAGCAUACCGGCGCGCAACUGACGCUCAUGCACGAAAGCGUGGGUAUCGAACAGGAUUAGAUACCCCUGUAGUC
RNAcentral lists this ribosomal RNA (459 nucleotides) under uncultured bacterium. RNAcentral describes it as "partial 16S ribosomal RNA". It matches the Rfam family "Bacterial small subunit ribosomal RNA", at positions 338 to 795 of the family's 1533-position model. The record is from RNAcentral.